RNAcentral lists this unclassified non-coding RNA (336 nucleotides) under soil metagenome. RNAcentral describes it as "partial contains 5.8S ribosomal RNA, internal transcribed spacer 2, and large subunit ribosomal RNA". The stretch from base 1 to 120 matches the Rfam family "5.8S ribosomal RNA", at positions 35 to 154 of the family's 154-position model. The record is from RNAcentral.
GAUGAAGAACGUAGCGAAAUGCGAUAAGUAGUGUGAAUUGCAGAAUUCAGUGAAUCAUCGAAUCUUUGAACGCACAUUGCGCCCCUUGGUAUUCCAUGGGGCAUGCCUGUUCGAGCGUCAUUUGUACCUUCAAGCUUUGCUUGGUGUUGGGUGUUUGUCUCGCCUUUGCGUGUAGACUCGCCUUAAAAUAAUUGGCAGCCGGCGUAUUGAUUUCGGAGCGCAGUACAUCUCGCGCUUUGCACUCAUAACGACAGCGUCCAAAAGUACAUUUUACACUCUUGGCCUCGGAUCAGGUAGGGAUACCCGCUGAACUUAAGCAUAUCAAUAAGCGGAGGA